Molecule: long non-coding RNA, 548 nt
Organism: Eurytemora carolleeae
Lineage: Eukaryota; Metazoa; Arthropoda; Copepoda; Calanoida; Temoridae
Exons: 3
Source: RefSeq, a predicted model, not a curated record
CCUGGAUAUCUAAUUUCUUAAUUGAUCUAAUAAAACUUUUAAGUGUACCGUGUCAGUGUGAAUCUACUGUUCCGAUCAAAUAAUAAAGGGUCACUUAAACUAAGCUUAGAGUCCAUCUAAGCAAAAAGUGUUUACUCUAUGCACCGUUUAUUUUCAAUUCGUUAAAGUACGAAAAGAACCCAUGCGUCAAAAUGCACGAAAUAAAAAAUUGAUGCUUAACUUUCAUACAAAUUCCUACAUUAUUCAUUAUAUUUGUUCAUUGCUACUUAUUCUUUAUUAUGAUAUAUUGGUAUAGGAAGCAGGAAGGCAAAUGUCUAAAUAUUUAUGUUGGGUUGGAGAAUAUUCUGAACACUGGAGAACUAAACCUUGUAUUCGAAGAUGUAAAUAAUCUGCAAACUAUGAAAGAGGAAAUAUAUUUUACAACAAAAUGUUUUUUCAUAACAACUCAUCAAGUUACUGCAGCCCAAAAACUGAUAAAACUAGGGUUUUCUCCUAAAUAUAUUUUCGUUCUAAAAUCUGAGAAUUCAGUGACAACAGAUUCUCCAGGA